UACGUAGGUGGCAAGCGUUUGUCCGGAAUUACUGGGCGUAAAGCGUGCGCAGGCGGUUCGUUGUGUCGGUGGUGAAAUCCCCGGGCUUAACCUGGGAAUGGCCAUGGAAACUGGCGAACUGGAGUGCGGCAGAGGGGGGUGGAAUUCCGCGUGUAGCAGUGAAAUGCGUAGAGAUGCGGAGGAACACCGAUGGCGAAGGCAGCCCCCCUGGGCUAGCACUGACGCUCAGGCACGAAAGCGUGGGGAGCAAACAGG
RNAcentral lists this ribosomal RNA (255 nucleotides) under uncultured bacterium. RNAcentral's name for it is "partial 16S ribosomal RNA". It matches the Rfam family "Bacterial small subunit ribosomal RNA", at positions 524 to 776 of the family's 1533-position model. The record is from RNAcentral.